AAUACCAUGCAGUCGACGGUGAAGCGGAGCUUGCUCUGCUGGAUCAGUGGCGAACGGGUGAGUAACACGUGAGCAAUCUGCCCCUGACUCUGGGAUAAGCGCUGGAAACGGCGUCUAAUACCGGAUACGAGCUGCGAAGGCAUCUUCAGCAGCUGGAAAGAAUUUCGGUCAGGGAUGAGCUCGCGGCCUAUCAGCUUGUUGGUGAGGUAACGGCUCACCAAGGCGUCGACGGGUAGCCGGCCUGAGAGGGUGACCGGCCACACUGGGACUGAGACACGGCCCAGACUCCUACGGGAGGCAGCAGUGGGGAAUAUUGCACAAUGGGCGAAAGCCUGAUGCAGCAACGCCGCGUGAGGGACGACGGCCUUCGGGUUGUAAACCUCUUUUAGCAGGGAAGAAGCGAAAGUGACGGUACCUGCAGAAAAAGCGCCGGCUAACUACGUGCCAGCAGCCGCGGUAAUACGUAGGGCGCAAGCGUUAUCCGGAAUUAUUGGGCGUAAAGAGCUCGUAGGCGGUUUGUCGCGUCUGCUGUGAAAACCCGAGGCUCAACCUCGGGCCUGCAGUGGGUACGGGCAGACUAGAGUGCGGUAGGGGAGAUUGGAAUUCCUGGUGUAGCGGUGGAAUGCGCAGAUAUCAGGAGGAACACCGAUGGCGAAGGCAGAUCUCUGGGCCGUAACUGACGCUGAGGAGCGAAAGGGUGGGGAGCAAACAGGCUUAGAUACCCUGGUAGUCCACCCCGUAAACGUUGGGAACUAGUUGUGGGGACCAUUCCACGGUUUCCGUGACGCAGCUAACGCAUUAAGUUCCCCGCCUGGGGAGUACGGCCGCAAGGCUAAACUCAAAGGAAUUGACGGGGACCCGCACAAGCGGCGGAGCAUGCGGAUUAAUUCGAUGCAACGCGAAGAACCUUACCAGGCUUGACAUAUACGAAGAACGG
Molecule: ribosomal RNA, 937 nt
Filed under: Microbacterium schleiferi
Lineage: Bacteria; Bacillati; Actinomycetota; Actinomycetes; Micrococcales; Microbacteriaceae
Description: bacterial SSU rRNA
Rfam family: Bacterial small subunit ribosomal RNA
Source: RNAcentral